Non-coding RNA from Heterocephalus glaber (naked mole-rat), 365 nucleotides. Lineage: Eukaryota; Metazoa; Chordata; Mammalia; Rodentia; Bathyergidae. The record is from RefSeq and is a predicted model, not a curated record.
UCCAGGCACACAGAGGCUGUGGCAGAACAACUAGCUUGGAGAUCACCUCAAAAAGACACGGAGGUUUCCUGGAGAGUGUGCUCUAGCAGUGGGAAGCCCAGCCCGGGUGAGAAGAUGGAGAGCCUGAAAAUGUAAUUGGACUGCUCCGGUUGUACUUGAGCCCAAGGGCAGAGCAAAGUCGGAGCUCAAGUUGAUGUGUGGGGCUGUGAUCCUUCUGAUUGUGAAAUGGCACAGCCACGAAGUCCCUAUAGGUGCCUGGAGGGUUCAGAUGCCUGCAUUUCUAGAAGAAUGUGGGAAAUUGCAUCCAAAUAUCAAUAUUUCUCACUGUUUCAGAAGUCUCAGAAAGAAAUACACAGAGACACAGA